CUAGAGAGCUGCCCCAGAAGCAGAGCCCAUAAAUACAGUGAUUGGACGGUGACAACCUUAGGGGAUCACAGGGCUGCCGCGCAAAUCCCCAGGCUUUCUCAUUCCCUCCCCAACCCCAAGAGAUCAGGCAAGCCACGACUCCUCAGCCACUGCCAGCUCUCCUCCAGCGCACCUUACCUUCCAGUCUCCUCAGCGAUCAUUCUUUCCAGCGAUCAUUCUUUCGGCAGUAACAGUCCUUUAAGACCACCCCCUAGAGAAUCUAACAUUUCCUUGUGGCACGUCACUGAGCCAUCAGGGUGGAGCCAAGAAAGAAGUGAGAAAACGGAAGAACAGAAGGUGUGUGCACAGGGUCAGCCCAGACUCAGCCUGAGCAAUCUUCACCCCAUGAAAGAAAACAAAGGCUCUACCCUGAGCACGGAGGGCAGAUUUGAUCGGCAUCACGGCUCUAGCCUUUCAGAGUGUCGACUCUUUGGGUUAGUCUCUGGGCUCCGAGAACCUGGCACAACAGAGGCAAAAGCACACUGCGCAAUUGCCGCCUCAGAUGGAACUGUGGGUGCAAAGGCCCUGAGGCAGGAACAACUUCAGGUAUAAUCAAGGAACGGCUUAGAGACCAGUGAAACUGGACUGAGAGGAAAUGGCAAGUGGAGUUUCAAGACAUGUCGGAAUCACGGACCCUUGAAGGACUUUGGAUUCCACCCAGUGCACGAUGGCCACCAAAAUUGGGAAGCGGGGAGAUGUUAAACUCUGUUUGACUUAGGGUGACUCUGUUCCUUGAGUAAGAAACCACAACCAAACCUAAUUCAUAACCACAGAAAGCUUGUGCUUGUACUUUUCUAAGAGAUAGCUGGGUCUCAGCCAAUCGGUGCAGCCCGGCUUCAGGUGGCUGUCUGACAGACCAAGCUAUAAAGAAGUACGCUGUCACUAUGCCUCAUUUUCACUACGUGCACGGUGUGAUAAGACACUGGUUAAAAUCAACUUGGAGAGAAAGGGUUUAUUUGGUUUGCAGGUUGAAAGGACAAAAAUAAAUAAAUAAAUAAAUAAAUAAAACAAAAACCUGGUGAGGUGGGUACCUUUUGGCAGAUCCUGACAAGGUAUGCCCCUAAGAGAGUUAGUGUAAGGGGUUUAUUGGGGCAGGAGAGAGUGAAAGAGCAAAAUGCCUUCUUGGAGUGGGG
This 1172-nucleotide long non-coding RNA is filed under the name Cricetulus griseus (Chinese hamster). RNAcentral describes it as "lncRNA (ENSCGRG00015016965.2)". Lineage: Eukaryota; Metazoa; Chordata; Mammalia; Rodentia; Cricetidae. The record is from RNAcentral.